Molecule: ribosomal RNA, 441 nt
Filed under: uncultured bacterium
Lineage: Bacteria
Description: partial 16S ribosomal RNA
Rfam family: Bacterial small subunit ribosomal RNA
Source: RNAcentral
CCUACGGGCGGCAGCAGUGGGGAAUAUUGCACAAUGGGGGAAACCCUGAUGCAGCAACGCCGCGUGAGUGAAGAAGUAUUUCGGUAUGUAAAGCUCUAUCAGCAGGGAAGAAAAUAGCCGUUACUUACCUAAGAUGCCCUGGCUAACUACGUGCCAGCAGCCGCGGCAAUACGGAGGGGGCAAGCGUUAUCCGGACUGACGGGGGGUAAAGGGAGCGUAGGCGGUGUAGCAAGUCAGAAGGGAAAGCCCGUGGCUCAACCUCAGAACUGCUUUUGAAACUGUUAAGCUAGAGUACGAGAGAGGAAGGCGGAAUUCCUAGUGUAGCGGUGAAAUGCGUAGAUAUUAGGAGGAACACCAGUGGCGAAGGCGGCUUGCUGGACGGAAACUGACGUUGAGGCGCGAAAGCGUGGGGAGCAAACAGGAUUAGAUACCCUUGUAGUC